CCUACGGGGGGCAGCAGUGAGGAAUAUUGGUCAAUGGACGAGAGUCUGAACCAGCGAAGUCGCGUGAAGGAUGACUGCCCUCUGGGUUGUAAACUUCUUCUAUAUGGGAAUAAAACAGGGUAUGCAUACCCUCUUGUACGUACCACAUGAAUAAGGAUCGGCUAACUACGGGCCAGCAGCCGCGGUAAUACGGAGGAUCCGAGCGUUAUCCGGAUUUAUUGGGUUUAAAGGGAGCGUAGGUGGAAUGUUAAGUCAGUUGUGAAAGUUUGCGGCUCAACCGUAAAAUUGCAGUUGAAACUGGCAGUCUUGAGUGCAGGAGAGGUAGGCGGAAUUCGUGGUGUAGCGGUGAAAUGCUUAGAUAUCACGAAGAACACCGGUUGCGAAGGCAGCUCGCUGGACUGCAACUGACACUGAUGCUCGAAAGUGUGGGUAGCAAACAGGAUUAGAUACCCUGGUAGUC
RNAcentral lists this ribosomal RNA (460 nucleotides) under uncultured bacterium. RNAcentral's name for it is "partial 16S ribosomal RNA". It matches the Rfam family "Bacterial small subunit ribosomal RNA", at positions 338 to 795 of the family's 1533-position model. The record is from RNAcentral.